UUCCAGCUCUAAAAGCGUAUCUUAAAGUUGUUGCAGUUAAAAAGCUCGUAGUCGGAAGGGGUACACAUUGAGAAAAUAGAGUGUUAAAAGGUAAAGUGGGAGAGCACAGGACGUACCGUUCUUAAUCAAUAAACCGAUUAAGAAUGGUGAGAAUAGAAACAAUAGAGGGUAUGAGUAUUUUAUGGUUAGAGGUGAAAUUCUAUGAUUCAUGAAAGACUAUCGGGGGCGAAGGCACUUACCUCUUGGGUGU
RNAcentral lists this ribosomal RNA (250 nucleotides) under uncultured archaeon. RNAcentral describes it as "partial 16S ribosomal RNA". It matches the Rfam family "Eukaryotic small subunit ribosomal RNA", at positions 583 to 969 of the family's 1831-position model. The record is from RNAcentral.